RNAcentral lists this ribosomal RNA (654 nucleotides) under uncultured earthworm cast bacterium. RNAcentral describes it as "bacterial SSU rRNA". It matches the Rfam family "Bacterial small subunit ribosomal RNA", at positions 35 to 677 of the family's 1533-position model. The record is from RNAcentral.
GCUGGCGGUAGGCCUAACACAUGCAAGUCGAACGGCAGCACAGUAAGAGCUUGCUCUUACGGGUGGCGAGUGGCGGACGGGUGAGGAAUACAUCGGAAUCUACUUUUUCGUGGGGGAUAACGUAGGGAAACUUACGCUAAUACCGCAUACGACCUACGGGUGAAAGCAGGGGAUCUUCGGACCUUGCGCGAUUGAAUGAGCCGAUGUCGGAUUAGCUAGUUGGCGGGGUAAAGGCCCACCAAGGCGACGAUCCGUAGCUGGUCUGAGAGGAUGAUCAGCCACACUGGAACUGAGACACGGUCCAGACUCCUACGGGAGGCAGCAGUGGGGAAUAUUGGACAAUGGGCGCAAGCCUGAUCCAGCCAUACCGCGUGGGUGAAGAAGGCCUUCGGGUUGUAAAGCCCUUUUGUUGGGAAAGAAAUCCAGCCGGCUAAUACCUGGUUGGGAUGACGGUACCCAAAGAAUAAGCACCGGCUAACUUCGUGCCAGCAGCCGCGGUAAUACGAAGGGUGCAAGCGUUACUCGGAAUUACUGGGCGUAGAGCGUGCGUAGGUGGUCGUUUAAGUCUGUUGUGAAAGCCCUGGGCUCAACCUGGGAACUGCAGUGGAAACUGGACGACUAGAGUGUGGUAGGGGGUAGCGGAAUUCUGGUGUA